GGGCAGAUGGCGAAAUUGGUAUACGCAUCACGCUCAAAAUGUGACAACAUUAAGUUAUGAGGGUUCAAAUCCCUCUCUGCCCA
Molecule: transfer RNA, 83 nt
Filed under: Melanthalia intermedia
Lineage: Eukaryota; Rhodophyta; Florideophyceae; Gracilariales; Gracilariaceae
Description: tRNA-Leu
Rfam family: tRNA
About the family: Transfer RNA (tRNA) molecules are approximately 80 nucleotides in length. Their secondary structure includes four short double-helical elements and three loops (D, anti-codon, and T loops).
Source: RNAcentral